AUGCUGACAUAAGUAACGAUAAAGCGGGUGAAAAGCCCGCUCGCCGGAAGACCAAGGGUUCCUGUCCAACGUUAAUCGGGGCAGGGUGAGUCGACCCCUAAGGCGAGGCCGAAAGGCGUAGUCGAUGGGAAACGGGUUAAUAUUCCCGUACUUGGUGUUACUGCGAAGGGGGGACGGAGAAGGCUAUGUUGGCCGGGCGACGGUUGUCCCGGUUUAAGCGUGUAGGUGUGUGUUCCAGGUAAAUCCGGUUCACUUUAACACUGAGGCGUGAUGACGAGGCACUACGGUGCUGAAGCAACAAAUGCCCUGCUUCCAGGAAAAGCCUCUAAGCAUCAGGUAACAUCAAAUCGUACCCCAAACCGACACAGGUGGUCAGGUAGAGAAUACCAAGGCGCUUGAGAGAACUCGGGUGAAGGAACUAGGCAAAAUGGUGCCGUAACUUCGGGAGAAGGCACGCUGACACGUAGGUGAAGUGAUUUACUCAUGGAGCUGAAGUCAGUCGAAGAUACCAGCUGGCUGCAACUGUUUAUUAAAAACACAGCACUGUGCAAACACGAAAGUGGACGUAUACGGUGUGACGCCUGCCCGGUGCCGGAAGGUUAAUUGAUGGGGUCAGCGCAAGCGAAGCUCCUGAUCGAAGCCCCGGUAAACGGCGGCCGUAACUAUAACGGUCCUAAGGUAGCGAAAUUCCUUGUCGGGUAAGUUCCGACCUGCACGAAUGGCGUAAUGAUGGCCAGGCUGUCUCCACCCGAGACUCAGUGAAAUUGAACUCGCUGUGAAGAUGCAGUGUACCCGCGGCAAGACGGAAAGACCCCGUGAACCUUUACUAUAGCUUGACACUGAACAUUGAGCCUUGAUGUGUAGGAUAGGUGGGAGGCUUUGAAGUGUGGACGCCAGUCUGCAUGGAGCCGGCCUUGAAAUACCACCCUUUAAUGUUUGAUGUUCUAACGUGGACCCGUGAUCCGGGUUGCGGACAGUGUCUGGUGGGUAGUUUGACUGGGGCGGUCUCCUCCUAAAGAGUAACGGAGGAGCACGAAGGUUGGCUAAUCCUGGUCGGACAUCAGGAGGUUAGUGCAAUGGCAUAAGCCAGCUUGACUGCGAGCGUGACGGCGCGAGCAGGUGCGAAAGCAGGUCAUAGUGAUCCGGUGGUUCUGAAUGGAAGGGCCAUCGCUCAACGGAUAAAAGGUACUCCGGGGAUAACAGGCUGAUACCGCCCAAGAGUUCAUAUCGACGGCGGUGUUUGGCACCUCGAUGUCGGCUCAUCACAUCCUGGGGCUGAAGUAGGUCCCAAGGGUAUGGCUGUUCGCCAUUUAAAGUGGUACGCGAGCUGGGUUUAGAACGUCGUGAGACAGUUCGGUCCCUAUCUGCCGUGGGCGCUGGAGAACUGAGGGGGGCUGCUCCUAGUACGAGAGGACCGGAGUGGACGCAUCACUGGUGUUCGGGUUGUCAUGCCAAUGGCACUGCCCGGUAGCUAAAUGCGGAAGAGAUAAGUGCUGAAAGCAUCUAAGCACGAAACUUGCCCCGAGAUGAGUUCUCCCUGAGACUUUAGGUCUCCUGAAGGAACGUUGAAGACGACGACGUUGAUAGGCCGGGUGUGUAAGCGCAGCGAUGCGUUGAGCUAACCGGUACUAAUGAACCGUGAGGCUUAACCUUACA
This 1656-nucleotide ribosomal RNA is filed under the name Salmonella enterica. RNAcentral's name for it is "partial 23S ribosomal RNA". It matches the Rfam family "Bacterial large subunit ribosomal RNA", at positions 1294 to 2925 of the family's 2925-position model. Lineage: Bacteria; Pseudomonadati; Pseudomonadota; Gammaproteobacteria; Enterobacterales; Enterobacteriaceae. The record is from RNAcentral.